CCUACGGGAGACAGCAGUGGGGAAUAUUGCACAAUGGUGGAAACCCUGAUGCAGCAACGCCGCGUGGGGGAAGGAGCGUUUCGGCGCGUAAAGCCCUGUCAGCGGGGAAGAAGAAAGACGGUACCCGCCCCAGAAGCGCCUGCCAACUACGAGCCAGCCGCCGGGGUAAUACGUAGGGGCCGAGCUUUAUCCGGAAUUACUGGGGUUAAAGGGAGCGUCGACGGCGAGGUAAGCCUGAAGUGGAAUCCCGCGGCCUAACCGCGGAACUGCUUUGGGAACUGUUUUGCUGGAGUAUGGGAGGGGUAAGCGGAAUUCCUGGUGUAGCGGUGAAAUGCGUAGAUAUCAGGAGGAACACCGGUGGCGAAGGCGGCUUACUGGACCAUAACUGACGUUGAGGCUCGAAAGCGUGGGGAGCGAACAGGAUUAGAUACCCCUGUAGUC
This 441-nucleotide ribosomal RNA is filed under the name uncultured bacterium. Its description in RNAcentral is "partial 16S ribosomal RNA". It matches the Rfam family "Bacterial small subunit ribosomal RNA", at positions 338 to 795 of the family's 1533-position model. The record is from RNAcentral.